Molecule: unclassified non-coding RNA, 360 nt
Filed under: uncultured Ascomycota
Lineage: Eukaryota; Fungi; Ascomycota
Description: sequence contains ITS2
Rfam family: 5.8S ribosomal RNA (bases 1-154)
Source: RNAcentral
AACUUGUAACAAUGUAUCUCUUGGUUCUGGCAUCGAUGAAGAACGCAGCGAAAUGCGAUAAGUAAUGUGAAUUGCAGAAUUCAGUGAAUCAUCGAAUCUUUGAACGCACAUUGCGCCCUCUGGUAUUCCGGAGGGCAUGCCUGUUCGAGCGUCAUUAGACCAAUCAAGCACGGCUUGGUGUUGGGGUUCGCCGUCUGGCGGCCCUUAAAAACAGUGGCGGUGCCGUCUGGCUCUCAGCGUAGUAACUUAUCUCGCUGUUGGGUCCUACAGUCGCUUGCCAACAACCUCUAAUUUACUCAGGUUGACCUCGGAUCAGGUAGGGAUACCCGCUGAACUUAAGCAUAUCAAUAAGCGGAGGCU